Pangasianodon hypophthalmus (striped catfish) is the source of this 1329-nucleotide long non-coding RNA. RefSeq lists it as uncharacterized. The record is from RefSeq and is a predicted model, not a curated record. Lineage: Eukaryota; Metazoa; Chordata; Actinopteri; Siluriformes; Pangasiidae. The transcript is spliced from 2 exons.
CAUCAUCCUGGUGUAGUUCAGCUUCGUGGACUAAUAGUUACUCAGCUUCAAAUAUCCUAUAUGGAUGUUUUAAGUAAGAAAUGUUACACCUGGAUCUCCACCCCAUCACCAACUAUAAAUUACACAGGCUUUGUAUAUAAUAAAUAUGAAAAUAGUGCUCGAUCUUGGGCCUUGGAAUCACAGCAAUAUCUUGUUUUCACUCUAAUCCAUCUCACAUGCUAAAAGUAAUAAUAAAAACAACAUUUUAAACUGAAGCACUAUAGUGCGCUGAUGAACCUGGUGUGGAUAGUUAAUGGUGUGGAUAGUUAAUGGUGUGUAUAUGUUAAGUGGAAUCCUGAUAGCUCAACUUGCUGAUUAAACUGGGAGGCUGAAUGUGAGUCAUGUCUUGUGUGAACGGUGAAGAUGAGUGUCUCCCAUUUGGCUACUCAGGUUGUAUGUGUGUGUGUGUGUGUGUCAUAUCAACUUCUAAAAAGCCCCUCGUGUUUGAAGGUUACUUUGUGCAUCUCCAGGGGCUGUCAGCCAUGAGUCCAGUGCAAAAUUUACAGCUCUAAAUCAGAGCAUAUGCCGCCAAUGAGGAAGAAACGCAGAAAACUGGGUGUAUGACAGUAUCUGGGUGCCCCCUAGCGUAUGGAUCAUUUCUGCCUCAAAAUACUCGCUUUACCGUGCAAGAGCCAUCUUAAAUAGAAAACGGCGUCUCCGGCUGUUCGUCUCUCGCUAAUGCCAAAAGCGACGUGCGCUCGUUUUUAAUCUGAUUAAUGCUUUUGAGACUCGUUUCUAAUUGAAGCGGACGUGGCAAAGCUACGGGUGUGCGUCCGCCUUUUUUACUCAUGCAUGCUGCAGAAGACGCGGAAUGUUUCUUUGCUUAUUUUGCAGUCAGAUGUGUGUGUUUUUUUUUUUCUUUUUUUUUUUAAGUGAGCUCUGCACUGUGCGAGCCAGAAGCCUUUACGCAAAGCGGACACGAAGGAAAAACGCAGGAAAAAAAAAACAAUACUACGGUUUUGGAAUUUACUGAAAGCCAUUUUGGAUCCGAUGCCUGUACAGGGCAGAGAGCAGAUAGGCGAGCUGCAGAACUACACAGCGUUAUAAACAUGAAGAGCUUCUGAAACCUACCAAAAGCAUAGGAUGUCGAUUCGUCGUCCCCGUAGUGCAUCCUCUCCUAGAGAAAACCAACUUAGUCUUCUGUCUUUCUUUGUGUUUUUACGGUGUGUUUGCUGGGGCAGACAGUGUUCCCUUCCCCACAGACGGAGUAAUGCACGAGAAAAACAGGUUCCUCGGUUUAUUGAAAUGAUUAAAAAAAGCUUUAGGGAAUAAAAGAAGAAGAAGAAGAAG